Molecule: long non-coding RNA, 1048 nt
Filed under: Triticum aestivum (bread wheat)
Lineage: Eukaryota; Viridiplantae; Streptophyta; Magnoliopsida; Poales; Poaceae
Description: long non-coding RNA (TAES_LNC026450)
Source: RNAcentral
UUCAUAAGAUAAGCAAGAAAUAUUACAAUUCUUUUUGCAAUUAAAAAGAAGACUAUUACAACAACACUUUUUACAAGCUGGUCAUGGACAACCGUUGUACAACCGACAACUUAGAGCAGUGGCUGGCUUGUCUUAGUUAUAGCACACUCAACAUCAUUGCAAGGCAUCUUGCGGACAACAAAGAAGCUCAUUUGGAAUCCGGUACAUUUGUCUGUACAUUAGAAGCAUUCACUGAGAAAGAACAAAACACACACUGAUAGUUGUUGAUAAAAUAAAAUGUGCAAAAAUGUAUGUACAAUAAAGUUUUACGAAUAGAAAAAACACCGGCACUGGUUGAAGCACAUAAUAGUAGUGGUUGAAGCACAUAAUAGUAGUGGUUGAAGCACAUAAUAGUAGUGGUUGAAGCACAUAUGUCUGCUAAUGAUUCCAACAAAAUGUUUUUACGAUUAAAUAAGCAUACACUUAAGAUGCUGAAAGCAAAAUUCGCUAUACCAUAGAGAUACAUGUAAGAAAUAAAAGUAGGAAGCAUGGCUACUAGGAAGCAUUGGCUUCAUUAUAUCGUAACAUAUAUUUAACACACUGGAAACAUGGAUUUUGUAUUUUUUUAAUCGCUCGCAUGAUUGGAUGCGGAAAGUUGUGUUUCCAAAAUAAGUUAAGAACAUACAAUUAAUUAGAUAAUAUUAAAAUAGUUUGUUGUCAAUAUAACCAGAAACAUGUAUAAGAAUGAACUGUUUCCAAGGCAAAAAUAAACUAAUUUGCCAACCUAAAUCUGGAAUAUUGAUAUAAUGAUAUUUGACAAUUUCAUGAACAUAAGUGAGAUUAGUAGUAUCAUCGAACAUAAGUGAGAAUUUUUUGAGCCUAAAUCAACUUUUACUAGGAUAAACCAUGAUCCGGGAAGGCAUUGAUUUGAGUAAGAAAAUACACUCUCUAUGUAGUAGUAUAUUGCAAAGAAAUUGAAUCAUCAUGGCAGCCUGAGAAACAGAGUUGCAAAAUCAGGUGCAGAACAGCGAGCUGCUCACAAGAAGGCCAUCAUGGCUGCCUGAGGGAG